GACAGAGGUGCCAAGCGUUAGGCGGAAUCACUGGGCUUAAAGCGUGUGUAGGCGGAUGCCUAAGUACCUUGUGAAAUCCCACGGCUCAACCGUGGAACUGCUUGGUAUACUGGGUGUCUUGAGCCACUUAGGGGUUACCGGAACAAACGGUGGAGCGGUGAAAUGCGUAGAUAUCGUUUGGAACGCCAAUGGUGAAAACAGGUAACUGGGAGUGCGCUGACGCUGACACGAAAGUCAGGGGAGCGAACGGG
This 251-nucleotide ribosomal RNA is filed under the name uncultured bacterium. RNAcentral's name for it is "partial 16S ribosomal RNA". It matches the Rfam family "Bacterial small subunit ribosomal RNA", at positions 524 to 776 of the family's 1533-position model. The record is from RNAcentral.